UACGGGGGGGGCAAGCGUUGUCCGGAAUUAUUGGGCGUAAAGAGCUCGUAGGCGGUCUGCUACGUCCGCUGUGAAAACCUAGGGCUUAACCCUGGGCUUGCAGUAGAUACGGGCAGACUAGAGGUAGGUAGGGGAGAAUGGAAUUCCCGGUGUAGCGGUGAAAUGCGCAGAUAUCGGGAGGAACACCGGUGGCGAAGGCGGUUCUCUGGGCCUUACCUGACGCUGAGGAGCGAAAGCGUGGGGAGCAAACAGG
RNAcentral lists this ribosomal RNA (253 nucleotides) under uncultured bacterium. RNAcentral's name for it is "partial 16S ribosomal RNA". It matches the Rfam family "Bacterial small subunit ribosomal RNA", at positions 524 to 776 of the family's 1533-position model. The record is from RNAcentral.